GACGAAGGAUGCAAGCGUUAUCCGGAUUCAUUGGGUUUAAAGGGAGCGUAGGCGGUCUUGUAAGUCAGUGGUGAAAUCUCGCAGCUUAACUGCGAAACUGCCAUUGAUACUGCUUGACUAGAGUAUAGAUGCUGUGGGCGGAAUAUGACAUGUAGUGGUGAAAUACAUAGAGAUGUCAUAGAACACCGAUUGCGAAGGCAGCUCACAAAGCUAUAACUGACGCUGAGGCUCGAAAGUGUGGGGAUCAAACAGG
Molecule: ribosomal RNA, 253 nt
Filed under: uncultured bacterium
Lineage: Bacteria
Description: partial 16S ribosomal RNA
Rfam family: Bacterial small subunit ribosomal RNA
Source: RNAcentral